Long non-coding RNA from Coccinella septempunctata (seven-spotted ladybird), 413 nucleotides. RefSeq lists it as uncharacterized. The record is from RefSeq and is a predicted model, not a curated record. Lineage: Eukaryota; Metazoa; Arthropoda; Insecta; Coleoptera; Coccinellidae. The transcript is spliced from 2 exons.
UCUAUGUCUGGGACUGACAGUGACGCUAGUGACAGACACACUUUCUUUUAUGGUUUUUAUCCAUGGAUGUCUCUGGUUAUUACCUUUCUAUGACCGAUAUUUUUGUUACCUAAUCUCUAAUCUCUUGACUUACAUAAAUUGAAAUUUGGGUAUAGCGAAAUUUGUUUCAAUUACAGCUAUGUUGUCGUUAGCAAGAAUUGCCACAAGAAAUCUUUCUCAAAUCAAGAAUUACCAUACUUCGACCUUACCCCCAAAGCAUAGGGUGGGAUUAGCCCAUAAAGCUGUUCAUAUGGCUUUGUUUGCAGGAUCAAUGCUGAGUGUUCCCAUAUAUGUAUGUGUGAAUUUCAAAAAUUACAGAGGAUCUUAAUUUAUAUUCAAUUGAUGUGUUGUAGUAAUAUAUCUCUUGAUAGUUA